This 351-nucleotide long non-coding RNA is filed under the name Homo sapiens (human). RNAcentral describes it as "non-protein coding lnc-TSC1-1:2". Lineage: Eukaryota; Metazoa; Chordata; Mammalia; Primates; Hominidae. The record is from RNAcentral.
UAAGAGUGGGGUGGCAGGUAUUAGGGAUAAUAUUCAUUUAGCCUUCUGAGCUUUCUGGGCAGACUUGGUGACCUUGCCAGCUCCAGCAGCCUUCUUGUCCACUGCUUUGAUGACACCCACCGCUCUCAACACACAUGGGCUUGCCAGGAACCAUAUCAACAAUGGCAGCAUCACCAGACUUCAAGAAUUUAGGGCCAUCUUCCAGCUUUUUACCAGAACGUUUCCUCACCAGCUUCAAAUUCACCAACACCAGCAGCAACAAUCAGGACAGCACAGUCAGCCUGAGAUGUCCCUGUAAUCAUGUUUUUGAUGAAGUCUCUGUGUCCUGGGGCAUCAAUGAUAGUCACAUAG